GACGAACGCUGUGUGCGUGCUUAACACAUGCAAGUCGAACGGAAAGGCCCUGCUUUUGUGGGGUGCUCGAGUGGCGAACGGGUGAGUAACACGUGAGUAACCUGCCCUUGACUUUGGGAUAACUUCAGGAAACUGGGGCUAAUACCGGAUAGGAGCUCCUGCUGCAUGGUGGGGGUUGGAAAGUUUCGGCGGUUGGGGAUGGACUCGCGGCUUAUCAGCUUGUUGGUGGGGUAGUGGCUUACCAAGGCUUUGACGGGUAGCCGGCCUGAGAGGGUGACCGGCCACAUUGGGACUGAGAUACGGCCCAGACUCCUACGGGAGGCAGCAGUGGGGAAUAUUGCACAAUGGGCGGAAGCCUGAUGCAGCAACGCCGCGUGCGGGAUGACGGCCUUCGGGUUGUAAACCGCUUUCGCCUGUGACGAAGCGUGAGUGACGGUAAUGGGUAAAGAAGCACCGGCUAACUACGUGCCAGCAGCCGCGGUGAUACGUAGGGUGCGAGCGUUGUCCGGAUUUAUUGGGCGUAAAGGGCUCGUAGGUGGUUGAUCGCGUCGGAAGUGUAAUCUUGGGGCUUAACCCUGAGCGUGCUUUCGAUACGGGUUGACUUGAGGAAGGUAGGGGAGAAUGGAAUUCCUGGUGGAGCGGUGGAAUGCGCAGAUAUCAGGAGGAACACCAGUGGCGAAGGCGGUUCUCUGGGCCUUUCCUGACGCUGAGGAGCGAAAGCGUGGGGAGCGAACAGGCUUAGAUACCCUGGUAGUCCACGCUGUAAACGGUGGGUACUAGGUGUGGGGUCCAUUCCACGGGUUCCGUGCCGUAGCUAACGCUUUAAGUACCCCGCCUGGGGAGUACGGCCGCAAGGCUAAAACUCAAAGGAAUUGACGGGGCCCCGCACAAGCGGCGGAGCAUGCGGAUUAAUUCGAUGCAACGCGUAGAACCUUACCUGGGUUUGACAUGGAUCGGGAGUGCUCAGAGAUGGGUGUGCCUCUUUUGGGGUCGGUUCACAGGUGGUGCAUGCCUGUCGUCAGCUCGUGUCGUGAGAUGUUGGGUUGAGUCCCGCAACGAGCGCAACCCUUGUUCACUGUUGCCAGCACGUUAUGGUGGGGACUCAGUGGAGACCGCCGGGGUCAACUCGGAGGAAGGUGGGGAUGACGUCAAGUCAUCAUGCCCCUUAUGUCCAGGGCUUCACGCAUGCUACAAUGGCUGGUACAGAGAGUGGCGAGCCUGUGAGGGUGAGCGAAUCUCGGAAAGCCGGUCUCAGUUCGGAUUGGGGUCUGCAACUCGACCUCAUGAAGUCGGAGUCGCUAGUAAUCGCAGAUCAGCAACGCUGCGGUGAAUACGUUCCCGGG
This 1343-nucleotide ribosomal RNA is filed under the name uncultured bacterium. RNAcentral's name for it is "16S ribosomal RNA". It matches the Rfam family "Bacterial small subunit ribosomal RNA", at positions 28 to 1378 of the family's 1533-position model. The record is from RNAcentral.